Molecule: ribosomal RNA, 497 nt
Filed under: uncultured bacterium
Lineage: Bacteria
Description: partial 16S ribosomal RNA
Rfam family: Bacterial small subunit ribosomal RNA
Source: RNAcentral
GAUGAACGCUGGCGGCGUGCCUAAUACAUGCAAGUCGAGCGAACAGACGAGGAGCUUGCUCCUCUGACGUUAGCGGCGGACGGGUGAGUAACACGUGGAUAACCUACCUAUAAGACUGGGAUAACUUCGGGAAACCGGAGCUAAUACCGGAUAAUAUAUUGUAACACAUGGUUCAAUAGUGAAAGACGGUAUUGCUGUCACAUAUAGAUGGAUCCGCGUCGCAUUAGCUGGUUGGUAAGGUAACGGCUUACCAAGGCAACGAUGCGUAGCCGCCCUGAGAGGGUGAUCGGCCACACUGGAACGGAGACACGGUCCAGACUCCUACGGGAGGCACAGGUAGGGAAUCUUCCGCAAUGGGCGAAAGCCUGACGGGGCAACGCCGCGUGGGUGAUGAAGGUCUUCGGAUCGUAAAACUCUGUGAUUAGGAAAGAACAAAUGUGUAAGUAACUAUGCACGUCUUGACGGUACCUAAUCAGAAAGCCACGGCUAACUACGUG